RNAcentral lists this ribosomal RNA (931 nucleotides) under Acinetobacter soli. Its description in RNAcentral is "bacterial SSU rRNA". It matches the Rfam family "Bacterial small subunit ribosomal RNA", at positions 38 to 963 of the family's 1533-position model. The record is from RNAcentral. Lineage: Bacteria; Pseudomonadati; Pseudomonadota; Gammaproteobacteria; Moraxellales; Moraxellaceae.
GGCUGCGCGGCUUACCAUGCAGUCGAGCGGGGUGAUGGUGCUUGCACUAUCACUUAGCGGCGGACGGGUGAGUAAUGCUUAGGAAUCUGCCUAUUAGUGGGGGACAACAUCUCGAAAGGGAUGCUAAUACCGCAUACGUCCUACGGGAGAAAGCAGGGGAUCACUUGUGACCUUGCGCUAAUAGAUGAGCCUAAGUCGGAUUAGCUAGUUGGUGGGGUAAAGGCCUACCAAGGCGACGAUCUGUAGCGGGUCUGAGAGGAUGAUCCGCCACACUGGGACUGAGACACGGCCCAGACUCCUACGGGAGGCAGCAGUGGGGAAUAUUGGACAAUGGGGGGAACCCUGAUCCAGCCAUGCCGCGUGUGUGAAGAAGGCCUUAUGGUUGUAAAGCACUUUAAGCGAGGAGGAGGCUCUUUUGGUUAAUACCCAAGAUGAGUGGACGUUACUCGCAGAAUAAGCACCGGCUAACUCUGUGCCAGCAGCCGCGGUAAUACAGAGGGUGCAAGCGUUAAUCGGAUUUACUGGGCGUAAAGCGCGCGUAGGCGGCCAAUUAAGUCAAAUGUGAAAUCCCCGAGCUUAACUUGGGAAUUGCAUUCGAUACUGGUUGGCUAGAGUGUGGGAGAGGAUGGUAGAAUUCCAGGUGUAGCGGUGAAAUGCGUAGAGAUCUGGAGGAAUACCGAUGGCGAAGGCAGCCAUCUGGCCUAACACUGACGCUGAGGUGCGAAAGCAUGGGGAGCAAACAGGAUUAGAUACCCUGGUAGUCCAUGCCGUAAACGAUGUCUACUAGCCGUUGGGGCCUUUGAGGCUUUAGUGGCGCAGCUAACGCGAUAAGUAGACCGCCUGGGGAGUACGGUCGCAAGACUAAAACUCAAAUGAAUUGACGGGGGCCCGCACAAGCGGUGGAGCAUGUGGUUUAAUUCGAUGCAACGCG